This 745-nucleotide ribosomal RNA is filed under the name uncultured bacterium. Its description in RNAcentral is "bacterial SSU rRNA". It matches the Rfam family "Bacterial small subunit ribosomal RNA", at positions 61 to 794 of the family's 1533-position model. The record is from RNAcentral.
GUCGAGCGGUAGCACAGGGGAGCUUGCUCCCUGGGUGACGAGCGGCGCGACGGGUGAGUAAUGUCUGGGAAACUGCCUGAUGGAGGGGGAUAACUACUGGAAACGGUAGCUAAUACCGCAUAACGUCGCAAGACCAAAGAGGGGGACCUUCGGGCCUCUUGCCAUCAGAUGUGCCCAGAUGGGAUUAGCUAGUAGGUGGGGUAAUGGCUCACCUAGGCGACGAUCCCUAGCUGGUCUGAGAGGAUGACCAGCCACACUGGAACUGAGACACGGUCCAGACUCCUACGGGAGGCAGCAGUGGGGAAUAUUGCACAAUGGGCGCAAGCCUGAUGCAGCCAUGCCGCGUGUGUGAAGAAGGCCUUCGGGUUGUAAAGCACUUUCAGCGAGGAGGAAGGUGGUGAGCUUAAUACGCUCAUCAAUUGACGUUACUCGCAGAAGAAGCACCGGCUAACUCCGUGCCAGCAGCCGCGGUAAUACGGAGGGUGCAAGCGUUAAUCGGAAUUACUGGGCGUAAAGCGCACGCAGGCGGUUUGUUAAGUCAGAUGUGAAAUCCCCGGGCUCAACCUGGGAACUGCAUUUGAAACUGGCAAGCUAGAGUCUCGUAGAGGGGGGUAGAAUUCCAGGUGUAGCGGUGAAAUGCGUAGAGAUCUGGAGGAAUACCGGUGGCGAAGGCGGCCCCCUGGACGAAGACUGACGCUCAGGUGCGAAAGCGUGGGGAGCAAACAGGAUUAGAUACCUUGGUAGU